UCUAAUUUAGCAUAAAAUAAUGUAUCAAUUUUAGAAUUUGAAGAUGAAGGAUUUCAAUUAGUA
Molecule: transfer RNA, 63 nt
Filed under: Ixodes woyliei
Lineage: Eukaryota; Metazoa; Arthropoda; Arachnida; Ixodida; Ixodidae
Description: tRNA-Leu
Rfam family: tRNA
About the family: Transfer RNA (tRNA) molecules are approximately 80 nucleotides in length. Their secondary structure includes four short double-helical elements and three loops (D, anti-codon, and T loops). Further hydrogen bonds mediate the characteristic L-shaped molecular structure. tRNAs have two regions of fundamental functional importance: the anti-codon, which is responsible for specific mRNA codon recognition, and the 3' end, to which the tRNAs corresponding amino acid is attached (by aminoacyl-tRNA synthetases). tRNAs cope with the degeneracy of the genetic code in two manners: having more than one tRNA (with a specific anti-codon) for a particular amino acid; and 'wobble' base-pairing, i.e. permitting non-standard base-pairing at the 3rd anti-codon position.
Source: RNAcentral